Molecule: non-coding RNA, 364 nt
Organism: Desulfovibrio piger ATCC 29098
Lineage: Bacteria; Pseudomonadati; Thermodesulfobacteriota; Desulfovibrionia; Desulfovibrionales; Desulfovibrionaceae
Source: Rfam
GGAGUCGGACAGAUCGCCGCUGCGGGCAUUGGCCCGGAGAGGAAAGUCCGGGCUCCACAGGGCAGGACGCUGGAUAACGUCCAGGAAGGGCGACCUUCGGACAGCGCCACAGAAAGCAAACCGCCCGGCCGGUCCCGUACCGGCCGGGUAAGGGUGAAACGGUGGAGUAAGAGACCACCAGAUGCCGUGGUGACACGGCAUGCUCGGCAUACCCCGUCUGGAGCAAGGCCAAAUAGGGAAGGAGGCUGGCCCGGCCAUACCUUCCGGGUAGGCUGCUUGAGAGGGCAGGUAACUGCUCUUCUAGAGGAAUGGCGAUCGCGCGCCCCGGCGCGAACAGAACCCGGCUUAUCGUUCGACUCCUGCC